Molecule: non-coding RNA, 1520 nt
Organism: Camellia sinensis
Lineage: Eukaryota; Viridiplantae; Streptophyta; Magnoliopsida; Ericales; Theaceae
Source: RefSeq, a predicted model, not a curated record
CAAAUUUAAUCAACAAUAUUCCAACACUAAAAACAACACAUCUCCAAAUCCAAAAAUUAUAGAGGGCCGAGCCCAUUACAUUUUAACAAUCCACAAACUAAUGACCCACGGGCUACGGCCCACAAAAUCACUCUCGACUCGCACGACGUCAGCAGCACCUUACGCAUGCGAAACCUAACCCUAACCGUAACCAGGCGGUUGGGUCAUUUCAGCGGCCUGUUCUCUCUCUCUCUAUAUAUAUUUCGAGUUUCAGUCUAUCACUAUCGGCUUGUGGUUGUAGACGAAGCGACGAUGAGUUGAGACGGCGGAGCCGCUGCCGGUGGUGGUGGUGGUGGUGCGAAGGGGAAGAAGAAGGGAGUGAUGCAGCCGAUGAAGAUAAGAUCAUGGACGUCGCUUCACUGGAAAAGUUCCUCCAGGAACCGCUCAAGGUCGUCUGCAAGGCCGGAGCUCUUCGCGACUCCGUCACCGUCUCUCGUGAAAAGUGCAAGAUCACCGUCACCUCCCCCUUCUCUAAGCGAUCUAAGUUUGGUGCAACACUUCACACCUCUAGUCCCUCUCUACUGUCACCGUGGCACACCGAGUCGGACUGUGAAGGCUUCGUUCUCAAGGUCCUUCCGCUCUAGCUCCGCUCUCCAAUCAAGCUCUUGUGAUGCACUGAUAAUCACAGGGAACUCAUCGAAGUUGUCUUCGACAUUGCUCUCUCCCACAAACUCCGCCACCCAUACUCAGAUCUCUUGUAGCGACCCCGAUUUGUAAAUAACUACUAAUUCGUAAUUAAGAAUGCUAACAAGUGUUUAGAAUAGAAUUAUGUGUUAUUAUUAAUUGUAAUAUGUGCUUUGUAGUAAUUUGUGCAUAUCUAUCUGAUUUGAAAAUUAUUUGUCAUGAUUUCUACUUUGAAUCUGAAAUUGUUAGCCAAAAUGCUUUCAAAAACCGAAUUUGAGUUCAGGGAUUGACUAACUAGAAUAUUUGGAACCAUAUGAGAAGUUUUGUUAAAAAAUUGAUUCAGUUUAGUAAAAUCGCAUGUGAUUAAAUUGAGCCUUAAUUGGAACUAUUGUGGAUUAAUUGAGUUAUGUGCUAACCUUGAUUAAUUAAGGUUACUUAUGUUUAAUUAAGACGAUACAUGAUUUAUGCCUAAUCUACUUCUAUUCAUGAUUUAAGAUGUGAUUAAGCGUAUUAUGUGCUGAGGCAUUUUGUAAUGUUGGGCGUAGAGGAUUAAAAUCCUUUAGUGGGUGUGUGCUGAGAAAUUUGUGUGAGUGUAUUAAAAAAUUUGAGUUGGGCAUUUUGUGUUGACUGUAGGGGAUUAAAACCCUUGUGUGUGUGUGUGUGUGUUAGAGUUUUGCAUGUGUGUGCACGUGUAUUAUGCUCAAGAAGUGAGUGUGUGUUGUGUAUAUUUAGCUGAGUGAGGGAGUGUUUGUAUCAUUCCUUUGCUUAUUUGGUUCUUUGUGUUGAGAGAGUUCGAGCUUAAGAGAAAGAGAGAGAGAGAGUUUGGCUUUAGUGAAAGAGGUCAAAAGUUUGAAGAA